GACGAACGCUGGCGGCGUGCUUAACACAUGCAAGUCGAACGGAAAGGCCCUGCUUUUGUGGGGUUCUCGAGUGGCGAACGGGUGAGUAACACGUGAGUAACCUGCCCUUGACUUUGGGAUAACUUCAGGAAACUGGUGCUAAUACCGGAUAGGAGCGCCUGCUGCAUGGUGGGGGUUGGAAAGUUUAGGCGGUUGGGGAUGGACGCGGGGGUGAUCAGCUGGUUGGUGGGGUAGUGGCUUACCAAGGCUUUGAUGGGUAGCCGGCCUGGGAGGGUGACCGGCCACAUUGGGACUGAGAUACGGACCAGACUCCUACGGGAGGCAGCAGUGGGAAAUAUUGCACAAUGGGCGGAAGCCUGAUGCAGCAACGCCGCGUGCGGGAUGACGGCCUUCGGGUUGUAAACCGCUUUCGCCUGUGACGAAGCGUGAGUGACGGUAAUGGGUAAAGAAGCACCGGCUAACUACGUG
Molecule: ribosomal RNA, 468 nt
Filed under: uncultured bacterium
Lineage: Bacteria
Description: partial 16S ribosomal RNA
Rfam family: Bacterial small subunit ribosomal RNA
Source: RNAcentral